UUCCUCCGAUUUGCGCUCGCCGAUUCAUUUGAAGAAGGAUAUGGCCGUUGACUGCUGGUGCUUCCCUUCCCCGGGCAUUCAGAUCAGCCAUGACUUGGGAUAGUACUUCUAUCCAGCAAGCAGAGUUUUGGAUGUGAGCUCCAGCUCAAGCAGAGCAUCAAAAACAGGGGCUCUAUCUGCUAAUGGGGUAGCCAGAAAUGCAGUCUAAGAGAUACAUCUCGUGUGAUUUCUGGAUAUGAGAACUUGAGAAGAACAAGCUUGAUGCUAUUAUUGGAAAAAAUAAUCUACUCUACAGGAUUCUUCUUUGCAUCCCAUACACAUAGACGGAGUGGGAGGCUGCCGCAGCGGUGCUGGACUUGGAGCCCAAGCCAUCCGCUGCCGCCAACAGGUGCUGACAGUAUGAUGCCUUCAGAAUUGGCUCUCAGAACUUUCAACCAAGAUUAGAGCUAGCAUACAGUUUGCAGUUUAUAGUCGUACUCAUACUCAAUGAGUCCCUACCUCGGCUUCUAGGCAAGAUAUUCUUUAAUUUUAGUUGAUUAGCAACCAGUAUUGUUCAGGAAUUUUGAGUGGCACACAUCCUGGUCUGGUGAGCCGAUGACCAGACAUCAUUUGUCAAGGAAGCAAAAAGGACUACACUCACAAGGAACCAUGAAGCCAACGAUCCACGUCAACUAGAUGUUUUAGCUUUCAUUUUGUACAACUGAUGUCUCAUACUUGCAUCUUUUGGUUGUCCUUUUGUAAACCUGAUUAUGGUUUCUUGGUGGUUUUGUUUAGAACAGGUUGAAGUGUAUGUAUGUGGCAAUUAGUUAAUGGAAUAAAAAAUGUUUGGUGCUCC
This is a long non-coding RNA of Triticum aestivum (bread wheat), 835 nucleotides long. RefSeq lists it as uncharacterized. Lineage: Eukaryota; Viridiplantae; Streptophyta; Magnoliopsida; Poales; Poaceae. The transcript has 6 exons. The record is from RefSeq and is a predicted model, not a curated record.